RNAcentral lists this transfer RNA (75 nucleotides) under Ignavibacteria bacterium. RNAcentral's name for it is "tRNA-Val". It matches the Rfam family "tRNA". Rfam says of the family: Transfer RNA (tRNA) molecules are approximately 80 nucleotides in length. Lineage: Bacteria; Pseudomonadati; Ignavibacteriota; Ignavibacteria. The record is from RNAcentral.
GGACGCUUAGCUCAGCUGGUUCAGAGCACCUGCCUUACAAGCAGGGGGUCAGAGGUUCGAAUCCUCUAGCGUCCA